This 239-nucleotide ribosomal RNA is filed under the name uncultured bacterium. Its description in RNAcentral is "partial 16S ribosomal RNA". It matches the Rfam family "Bacterial small subunit ribosomal RNA", at positions 355 to 586 of the family's 1533-position model. The record is from RNAcentral.
UAGGGAAUCUUCGGCAAUGGGGGCAACCCUGACCGAGCAACGCCGCGUGAGUGAAGAAGGUUUUCGGAUCGUAAAGCNCUGUUGUAAGUCAAGAACGGGUGUGAGAGUGGAAAGUUCACACUGUGACGGUAGCUUACCAGAAAGGGACGGCUAACUACGUGCCAGCAGCCGCGGUAAUACGUAGGUCCCGAGCGUUGUCCGGAUUAUUGGGCGUAAAGCGAGCGCAGGCGGUUUGAUAA